CCUCGGGGGCAGCAGUGGGGAAUUUCGGACAAUGGGCGCAAGCCUGAUCCAGCCAUGCCGCGUGCAGGAUGAGGGCCUUCGGGUUGUAAACUGCUUUUGUACGGAACGAAAAGACUCCUUCUAAUAAAGGGGGUCCAUGACGGUACCGUAAGAAUAAGCACCGGCUAACUACGUGCCAGCAGCCGCGGUAAU
RNAcentral lists this ribosomal RNA (192 nucleotides) under uncultured Acidovorax sp. RNAcentral describes it as "partial 16S ribosomal RNA". It matches the Rfam family "Bacterial small subunit ribosomal RNA", at positions 338 to 524 of the family's 1533-position model. The record is from RNAcentral. Lineage: Bacteria; Pseudomonadati; Pseudomonadota; Betaproteobacteria; Burkholderiales; Comamonadaceae.